Molecule: long non-coding RNA, 505 nt
Organism: Gordionus sp. m RMFG-2023
Lineage: Eukaryota; Metazoa; Nematomorpha; Gordioida; Chordodea; Parachordodidae
Exons: 4
Source: RefSeq, a predicted model, not a curated record
AUCUCUAUAAAAAACUUCACGCAAUUGAAACUUUAAAAAGUUCUACGGUAAAUAUCGGCUCUAACAUGAUAAAUAAUGGAUUCAUCAUUGACACUCGCGUUUUAUUCAACGGAGUUGUAAUAUUCGUGGACCUUGUCUUGAUAUCGAAUAAAUCCCUCUCAUUGGUUAAAAUCUUGCGGGGAGAACCGGAAGCCAAUGAAUUCUAGAAUUACUUUCAUAGAUCUAACUUCACUCUUCUGAACGAAAAUCGCGAAAUUAGUUCUCAUACCAGACAAUGCGGCUUUCCUAAAUCUUGACCAAAACAUAAAAGAAAAAUUGAGAGAGAAUACCUCUUACGCUAAAGAGUUCCUUGAAAAUCAUAUAGCUCUAUCUAAUGCCCUGAAUACUAUUCGACAUCUUGAAGGGGCAAAUGGUUCAAUGUACAAUGAUAUUACGCGUAUUGUGAUACCCAACAAUAUACAAUGUGUAAGAAAGAUUAGCAAAAAGAUCUAUCAUUUCUGCGGAG